RNAcentral lists this ribosomal RNA (377 nucleotides) under uncultured eukaryote. Its description in RNAcentral is "partial 18S ribosomal RNA". It matches the Rfam family "Eukaryotic small subunit ribosomal RNA", at positions 592 to 975 of the family's 1831-position model. The record is from RNAcentral.
CAAUAGCGUAUAUUAAAGUUGUUGCGGUUAAAAAGCUCGUAGUUGGAUUUCUGCUGAGAACGACCGGUCCGCCCUUUGGGUGUGUAUCUGGCUCUUUCUUGGCAUCUUCUUGGUGAACGUUGCUGCACUUGACUGUGUGGAGCGCUACCCAGGACUUUUACUUUGAGGAAAUUAGAGUGUUUCAAGCAGGCAUACGCCUUGAAUACUCCAGCAUGGAAUAACAAGUAAGGACUUAGGUUCUUCUUGUUGGUUUAGGGACCUUAGUAAUGAUUAAGAGGAACAGUCGGGGGUAUUCGUACUUGGUAGUCAGAGGUGAAAUUCUUGGAUUUACCAAAGACGAACUACUGCGAAGGCAUCUACCAUGGAUGUUUUCAUUA